UACAGAGGGUGCAAGCGUUAAUCGGAAUUACUGGGCGUAAAGCGAGCGUAGGUGGCUUGAUAAGUCAGAUGUGAAAUCCCCGGGCUUAACCUGGGAACUGCAUCUGAUACUGUUAGGCUAGAGUAGGUGAGAGGAAGGUAGAAUUCCAGGUGUAGCGGUGAAAUGCGUAGAGAUCUGGAGGAAUACCGAUGGCGAAGGCAGCCUUCUGGCAUCAUACUGACACUGAGGCUCGAAAGCGUGGGUAGCAAACAGG
RNAcentral lists this ribosomal RNA (253 nucleotides) under uncultured bacterium. RNAcentral's name for it is "partial 16S ribosomal RNA". It matches the Rfam family "Bacterial small subunit ribosomal RNA", at positions 524 to 776 of the family's 1533-position model. The record is from RNAcentral.